Long non-coding RNA from Pseudophryne corroboree (corroboree frog), 211 nucleotides. RefSeq lists it as uncharacterized. The record is from RefSeq and is a predicted model, not a curated record. The transcript is spliced from 2 exons. Lineage: Eukaryota; Metazoa; Chordata; Amphibia; Anura; Myobatrachidae.
UUGAACAGUUGGGCAGCCAUGUUAGAGAAGAUCCAGUGGCUGGCAGUGAGGAGAAGUGCUGCGUUAUUUAACCCGGUCUUGACUAAUGUUCCCGGUGACCAGAGGGAAGACGGAGAGUAACUGUGUGUCUUCACCCAGUUGGUUCUGUGCCUUAGGAAUAAAGCUGUAUAUGAAAGGUUUAAUGAAAAAAUAAAACAGAAUCUGGACGAUG